RNAcentral lists this unclassified non-coding RNA (200 nucleotides) under Phacidium sp. RNAcentral describes it as "partial internal transcribed spacer 2". Lineage: Eukaryota; Fungi; Ascomycota; Leotiomycetes; Phacidiales; Phacidiaceae. The record is from RNAcentral.
UUAAGUUCAGCGGGUAUCCCUACCUGAUCCGAGGUCAACCUGAAAAAAUAUGGGGGUUUUGGCAGGACGCUCGCCCGGACUCCAAAGCGAGAAGUAUUACUACGCUUGAAGCCAGACGGCACCGCCACUGAUUUUAAGGCGCACCCGGGGGUGACACCCAAUACCAAGCAGAGCUUGAGGGUUGUAAUGACGCUCGAACA